This 253-nucleotide ribosomal RNA is filed under the name uncultured bacterium. RNAcentral describes it as "partial 16S ribosomal RNA". It matches the Rfam family "Bacterial small subunit ribosomal RNA", at positions 524 to 776 of the family's 1533-position model. The record is from RNAcentral.
UACAGAGGUCUCAAGCGUUGUUCGGAUUCAUUGGGCGUAAAGGGUGCGUAGGCGGCGCGGUAAGUCGGGUGUGAAAUCUUGGAGCUUAACUCCGAAACUGCACUCGAUACUGCUUUGCUUGAGGACUGGAGAGGAGAUUGGAAUUCACGGUGUAGCAGUGAAAUGCGUAGAUAUCGUGAGGAAGACCAGUGGCGAAGGCGGAUCUCUGGACAGUUCCUGACGCUGAGGCGCGAAGGCCAGGGGAGCAAACGGG